Molecule: long non-coding RNA, 432 nt
Organism: Pongo pygmaeus (Bornean orangutan)
Lineage: Eukaryota; Metazoa; Chordata; Mammalia; Primates; Hominidae
Exons: 3
Source: RefSeq, a predicted model, not a curated record
GAGAAACACACGGGUUCCUGAAGGGACGUGGGAGGAUGUGAUCUGUGUCCUAUCUGGAAUAUCAAGGGGAUGAAGGCAAUGGAAGUAGCUACCACUUGGUGAACUAGACAAACUCUUAAUGUAAAACCACCAUCAGAGCCACCCUGGAGUUAUGGCAAGGCCAUCACAGUCUCCUCCAAAGGCCACUGAUAAGGAACUGGGAACCUCCCUCCAUAGAAUGCUAAAUGGCUGGUGUGAACUUGGUUAAGGAUCUAUAAUUCUUCUUAUGAAGAAGAGAACCAUCUUAAAACCAUGAGGUGACAUGCAUGAGGACAAAGACUUCCUGCUUGUUCUUGAGCCACUGAGGGCACCUCUGAAUUGCUGUACCACCCAGAAAAUGCUAUCCCUGAACUUCUUGUUGACUGAGACAAAUAAACCCCUUAUUUAAACCAC